RNAcentral lists this ribosomal RNA (462 nucleotides) under uncultured bacterium. RNAcentral's name for it is "SSU rRNA". It matches the Rfam family "Bacterial small subunit ribosomal RNA", at positions 26 to 518 of the family's 1533-position model. The record is from RNAcentral.
AGGAUUAACGCUGGCGGCGUGCCUAACACAUGCAAGUCGAACGAGGUAGCAAUACCUAGUGGCAGACGGGUGAGUAACGCGUGGUCAACCUACCGUUGAGUGGGGGAUAACUAGCCGAAAGGUUAGCUAAUACCGCAUACGAGUCUCGGGGGCAUCCCUGGGCCUUAAAAGGAGCAAUCCGCUCGAUGACGGGACCGCGUCCCAUUAGCUAGAUGGUGGGGUAACGGCCUACCAUGGCACCGAUGGGUAGCUGGUUUGAGAGAGCGACCAGCCACACUGGGACUGAGAAACGGCCCAGACUCCUACGGGAGGCAGCAGUGAGGAAUUUUCCGCAAUGGGCGAAAGCCUGACGGAGCGACGCCGCGUGUGGGAAGAAGGCCUUCGGGUCGUAAACCACUGUCGAAGGGGACGAUAAUGACGGUACCUUGGAGGAAGCCCGGCUAACUACGUGCCAGCAGCCGC